This 6788-nucleotide long non-coding RNA is filed under the name Zea mays. Its description in RNAcentral is "long non-coding RNA (ZMAY_LNC000592)". The record is from RNAcentral. Lineage: Eukaryota; Viridiplantae; Streptophyta; Magnoliopsida; Poales; Poaceae.
CGAGGUCGUAUGGCUGGGCUCGCGCUCGUGCUCCUUGCUCGCGUAUAAUGGAGUUUCUGUGCCUCGUACAUGCUCUUUGGCAGAACGUGAUCCUCCGGAAGCAGGCUGCCAAUAACUGUCAACAAACCAUCGAAUGCGUCUCGACUCAUGCUAUACUGCGACUUGAACGCCAUUAUACGCCCAAUGGCAUCCAGUUGAGAAACCUUUGUCUUGCCGUGAAGGGGUUUCUGUGCCGCGUCAAACAUGUCGUAGAAUGUCUUUGCGGUCGCCUCUGGCUCGUCCUCCGUACGUCCUUCGGCGAACUGUGCCUCGUGAUAGUCGUUCAACAUGUCUCCUACCCCGGCAUCAGCAUCGUAAUCCUCGACGCGUUGUCUCACCACCUCCUCUCUCGUGCGAUGCGCUUCACCAUGGAAGAUCCACCGAGUAUAGUCCGGCGUAAAUCCAUUCUUCCAAAUAUGUUCUACCAUGACCUUCUUUGGUUUUCUUUUCCGGUUGUCACAUUUGCUACACGGACAAGGGACUAGGCUAGCUCCUUUAGCAGCUUCGCCAUAUGCCCGUUCCACGAAAGCAUCGGUCUUCCUAAUCCAUUCUGGGGUGACAUCAUUACGUCGAACGCGGCCCGUGUACAUCCACUCACGGUCCUCCAUCCUCUAACAUAUAUAACCGAGUAUAGUUUAAUAUAGACAUGUAAUGCAUGUACACUACGUUCCUACCUUCUAAUAGGUGAGGAUAGGUCCUAAUCCCACCCGCGGUUGCGUAGAUGGAGUUAGUUUCCAUGCUCUACUCCGAUCCGAGAUAGAAUUUCGGCAGCACCUCCCCGCUGUUCUCCGGAUACACGUCCUGGCAGAGAGAGUGUACUGUCCGGAGAACAACAGGGAGGUGACGCCGAAACUCUUUCUCGGACCGGAGUAGAGCAUGGAAACUAACACCAUCUACGCAACCGCAGGCUGUCCAAAAAAUGUGGACAAUUCGAAACUGAUACAUUUGUAGAUAUGCAAAGAUCUGCAUAUCUACACCGUAUCUCUUUCGAACGGGAGACGCCUAACUGGGUUACGUGAUCUACGACCAUGAUGCGGAAAUAGAGGUUAUACCUAGGGUGGCGGUGGAGUCAGGCUAGUGGGGCUGUGGCGGGUCGGUGCAGUGGCGACGCGACGCGGUGCAGGCAGACCCGCAGCGGCUAGGAAGACCUCUGCAAAAAAUACAUGCCUGUCAACAAAAAGAGUUAUGUGUAAAUGUGCACAUGUGCACUAAAGUUUUACAAAGGAAAACUUUAGACCUCUACCAUAAAAGUUUUACAAAGGAAAACUUUAGAUGUGCACUAAACUUUAGACCUCUGUCAACAAAAGGAAAACUUUCUAAACCUACUUGGCCUCUAAUAUGUGUAAAUGUGCACUAAAGUUUUACAAAGGAAAACUUUAGACCUCUACCAUAAAAGAGUUAUGCAGCGUAGUUUCCAAUCAUAUAUAUAUAUAUACACACUAGCAUAACAAGUUAAAUUACAAAUGUAAGCAUGUAACCUACAAAAGCAUCAAUGAGAUAGAAAUGAUGUAGACCCACAUCGAGGACGACGAUUUUAAUCGAGGUAUCGAGAAGCUCAUGGUUUUUCCUAAUCUUCAUUGGAGCCCCUAGCAAGGAUGCCCAUGCGAGGGACAAGCUCUCGACCAAGUAGCUCUAUUGAUAGCCCACAUUCCUUCCCUAUGCGCAAGUGAGUCUUCAUGGUAGUCUUCUUUCGGAUCUCUUUCCAUUAUCUUUAUUAUCAUGUAUUUGACCAAUACGUUGUUGGUCACACAUUUCAUUUUGUACACGCUCAAUGACCUCACCACAUUUCAUAGGAUCUUAUAGGACUACAAGCCCUAGUGUACAAGCAAUGGUACAUGGAAGCACUAGGUGGCAAGGGUAUGGAAAUCUCACUAAGCAGCAGGCCUAAACUUAGGGCAAGUGCUAAAUAGUUGUGAGGAUCUAGAUGGCUAGAGAACUACUUCUACAAAGUUACACAAGCAACAAGCACAACACAAGUACUAAUAAAAAUGUUACAUACACUCACUAGGGCGCGGGCGGACGGGCGGGCGCCGGCGAGGGCGCGGGCGCCGGCGAGGGAGGCCGCGGCGAGGGCGGCCGCGGCGGGCGCGGGCGUGGGCGGACGCGGCCGGCGACGGCAUGGCGGGCGGCGAGCCGGCGAUGGCGCGGAGCGGCGGCGGGCGCGCAGGGAGGCGGCGGUGGGCGCGAUAGAGAGGAGACAGCGAGAGCAGAGAAAUGAGGAGGAAGAAAGCCGCGGGCGAGUAUAUUCGCCUUCUUUGCCGAGUGCCCGUGAUCUGGCACUCGGCAAAGUUUUUUAAAUUUUUAAAAUAAACUUUGCCGAGCGCCAGAUCGGUGGCACUCGGCAAAGGAUCCUUUGCCGAGUGUCUAUCAUCCGACACUCGGCAAAGAUUAACUUACACAUCUUUGCCGAGUGCCACCCUAGGGGCACUCGGCAAAGAAGUCUUUGCCGAGUGUCUUCUUUGGACACUCGGCAAAGUACAUUUUUAUUUUUUUUUAUUUUGCCAACCAAAAUUUUUGUGGUAUGUUCCUACACUAUAUAGACCUACAUGUACUAUUUUGGGACAAUUAUAACAGUGUUUUCUAUAGCUAGUACAUUUAAUUUGUUUAUUUGAAUUUUUUCGGAAAUUUCAGAUUUGAACUGCAGGUCACUUGAAACUUGGAAAACCGUGCAUGCAAAAAUAAUAUCCAUGCUACAUAGCACAAGUUACGACCGAUUUCAGGAGCGGACCGGAAACUUCGAGCACCAUGCUCACUCAACAUGACCGUGAACUUGCCAUACAGCUGUUUAAAAAAUUUAUAAAACACAAACAAACUUAGAAAAUCAUGAAACUUGUCCACAUGUCAUGAUAUCAUAUGUAGAGUCUGAUAAAAAAUUUAGAAUGUUUGGAGAAAGUUGUGAGACACUAUGUGUAUAAACCUAAGAGAACCACACAUGAAAUCAUAGAGUUUCAAUGUGAAUCUCUUAGGUUUGUACACAUAGUGCGUUACAGCUUUCUCGAAACUUUUUCAAAUUUUUAUCACAGCCUCUACAUAUGAUAUCAUGACACGUGGACAGGGUUCAUGAUUUUCUGACUUUGUUUCUGUUUUAUACAAUUUUUAAACACCUGGAUGGCAAGUUUACGGUCAUGUUGAGUGAGCAUGGUGCUCGAAGUUUUCGGUCCGCUCCUGAAAUCGGUCGUAACUUGUGCUAUGUAGCAUGGAUAUCAUUUUUGCAUUCACGGUUUUCCAAGUUUCGAGUGACCUGCAGUUCAAAUCUGAAUUUUCCGAAGAAAUUCAAAUAAACAAACUAAAUGUACUAGCUAUAGAAAAAACUGUUAUAAUUGUCCCAAAAUGGUACAUGUAGGUCUACAUAGUGUAGAAAUAUACCACAAAAAUUUUGGUGACCAAAAUAAAAAAAUAAAAAUAUGCUUUGCCGAGUGUCUACAGAGGACACUCGGCAAAAACUAUGUUUGCCGAGUGCCAGAUAUUUGACACUCGGCAAAGACUGACGGCCGUCAGUUGUAGACGGCCGCUAACGGCCCUUUGCCGAGAGCCAUGUUUGCCGAGUGCUCGGCUGUGCCGAGUGUCCUACACUCGGUAAACUAGCUCUUUACCGAGCGCAGGACGUUGCCGAGUGCGGCACUCGGCAAAGCCUUCUUUGCCGAGUGCCCGAUAAAAAGCACUCGGCAAAGCCACCGGCACUCGGCAAAGGCGCGAAUUCCGGUAGUGAUAUUCACCAAAUCAAAAGUGUGCAUCCCAUUCUGAGAAGUCGAUACCAUAUUCAUAUCCACUCUGCCAUCGCCCUGUAUCAGGUGAGGGGAUGUCAUAUUCAUAUCAUCGCUUCUGUCCCCAUGUAUCAAAUGUGGAGAUGCCAAGUUCAUAUCAAUUCUAUCACCAUGUAUAAAGUGUGGUGAUGCCAAGUUCAUGUCCACUCUUUCCCUCUGCAUCAAGUGAGGAGAUGACAUGUUCAUGUCAAGUCUUCCCUCUCCAUGAAUAAGGUGGGUCGUUGGCAUUUUCAUCUCAACUCUUCUGUCCCUAUGAAUCAGGGCAUUGGCAUUUGAUGUCAUGGCAUCACCAUGGACUAAUGCUGGCACAUUUGGCGCUAUGUCCGCAUCAACCCUUCUAUCCCCCUGAAUCAGAGCUGAGGUGUGUGACGCCAUGUUCUUAUCAACUCUUGUAUCUGCAGGCACCUGACCAGUCACAGUCAUAUUUACAUCAACCUGUUGAUCACCUUGCUUGCUGUGAUCAGGCCUAAUUAGUCUGUCCUUUGCUUCCUUCAAGGCUGACAACACAAACUCCUUCAGCUCAGGUUCUCUUGCUCCGAUGUCAAUGACAUCUUCAAAAUAUUCGUGGCCACAAAUAUACAAGUCAUCAUAAAUGCCCAGAUCCCUAUCUGAUUCCAUGCGAUUGGUGUUUGCGGAUGAAUUAAGUACCUAAAAUCCUUCCUCCAGCGGUUCAGGAUGUAAUUUGAUGGCAGUAUCAGUACAUUCUCUUGCUUCAGAACAGCCAGACAAAGAAUACCCCUCGAGGGAAAGGAGCGACAAAUGCACCAAACAUCCUUGUCAGAAUUGUUGUAAACAACUGUAUAGUCGACCUUCUUUCCCUGUAUUAACUCACUGACAAUGUAAGUAAUUGAGUUCCCACUUCUGUCUACCUCUUUACAAGUAACAUGCAUCAAUUGCUUAAUCUCAUCUUGGAACGUUUGAAACAUGGUUACUGUGUAGAGCUCCACAAGUUGCUCCUCAAAGGGCAAUCCCGACAACAAAGUGAGUCUAGAAUAGUAUGGCCGCAAAUCGGCAUAUGUUUCUCUUUCCAGCUUCUCUUUCAGAGUAGCCUCGUAUUGCUCAAGGAAAACUGGAAGGGUGGUUUUACUCACAACACUAUCAAAAUAUGGAUCAGUUUUUUCAGCCUUCCUGAUAGCAGAGGUGCCAGCCCAGAAUGAAUGAUUGAUAUACCCAGGUGCCCACUGCUUCCGACAACUGUACAAAGCAGAGAACCACUCAUUGUCUUUGAGAUUGUACUGGUCGACCAUGGCCCCCCACUCUUUUUCGAAGUCAGUAAGAGUGACGCUAUCAUAUACAACCUCCUUGAAGCUUGAGGAAAUUGCCUCUUUCUCAUGUGUGCGAACCACAUUUUCAAGUAGCUUCUUCAAGAUGUGCCAAAAGCAAAAUCGAUGCCUUGCAUUUGGAAACACCUCAGCCACAGCCUCUGAAAUGACAUCUGAAUAGCCGGUCGUGAUUGCCUCUGGGGGUUUGCCAUUCAUACAGCUCAACCACCUCUUCAACAACCAAACAUAGUUCUCCUUGCUGUCACCAGACAGGAGACUACAACCAAGAAGCACAAGGUGACCAUGGUUAUUCACCCCAAGGAGUGUGGCUAAUGGGAGGCUGGCGCAUGAGUGUUGUAAAUACAUCAUGUCAAGUGUAAUGACGUCGCCAAAAUAGCGGUAUUGCGCCUGGGCUCUAGAAUCAGUCCAAAAGAAAUUCUUCACAAGAUUUUCCCGAUCAAGAUCCCAGCUGUGGAUAAAGUUUGGUUUCCUGUGUUGCAUCUUUUCAAUGAACUUCUUGAGUGAAUUGAGGUCAUCCUCCCCGAAAAGCGGCACAAAACUCUCCAACCUACUAAACCUCUGGCUACCAACAGCAGCCCCAACGCUAGCACUCCUCUUGGGUCGUGUCGGGAACUUCCUUGUCUCAGCAAUCUCGCUCAGCGACUUCUCCACCAUUUCAUCCAUCUCAUCUGUAAUAUUGGCCUUCUUCUUUGCUGACUCAGGCAUCUUCCUGUAGGCCUUUAAGAAUCUCACCAUAUCUGGAGUACAAGGAUGGUUAUGCUCCAAGCCGACGGAUUCCACCUUCCACCUUCCAUCCACACGCUUGUCCCGGAUGAUCAACAUCGUCUUACAUCCAGUCUUCUCGGCAGUGCCACGGCGAGACUUCUUCUCCUUGGCAGCCAACCCCCGUUUGCUGCGGAGUGGGUAGCGGGUACCUGGGACGUCAGAGGGGGCAGCGCCCGUCCCAGAUUUGCCGUUGUACAUGCAGGUGAAGGUGGAGCGGUAGCGGAGCCCCUCGCAGUUGUGGCAAGUGCGGCGCACGGCAUGAAACCCCGUGUGGUAGGCGUGGACCUUGUAUAGCGCGAAAGCCUCGUCCACAGAGUCGAACACCACGCCCACCCGCGGCACGAGGGCCUCCUCCAGCGUGUUGGGGACGAAGACGAUGUCCCCGCUGCCACCGUCCUCCUCGUCGUCAGAGGGGAUGACCACUUCAUCGUCCUCCACGACCACCUCUUCGUCUUCCUCCUCCUCCGCAGGGUAUCCGUUGAGGUCGUCGGCAAGCUCCUCCUUGACCUGCCGCGCAUCCUCCCCGUCGGACUCGAGGCUAGGGUUGUGAGCCCCGGUGGACCGCCUCUUCGAACCCGCCCCCAUGCUCUGCCCCUACACUAUUUACACACACCCUCUUGCGCGCGCGUGCGCCACAACACCGCACCCCCGAAAAGAAUUAACACUAGAGGUACAGUGGAACGGAUACCUCGCGGCGCGGAAUGGCGAGGGUUCCGAGAGGGCGACGGUACGGGGGAGCGGGUGAGGUGGCGUGGGGCAGCGUAGCGGCUAAGGGGACGUCGAUCUGGGCGGAGCAGUGGGCGUGGGGACGUCGCCGGGGAAGAGGCUCGGGCUGGUUUGCUUUUGCUUUGGUGGGCGGAGCGGAGAGGAUGUGUGUGCGUGCCUGGGCGGAGGAAUUUGGCAAAAUAGGUCACUCUAGUUUGCCGCUCUGCAAAAU